RNA transcript from Symphalangus syndactylus (siamang), 2945 nucleotides. It is a transcript of the gene named tRNA splicing endonuclease subunit 54, with no coding region annotated. NCBI's taxonomy places the organism in Eukaryota, Metazoa, Chordata, Mammalia, Primates, Hylobatidae. The record is from RefSeq and is a predicted model, not a curated record.
GAGGGGACCAGAGCGGCCCGCGGGGGCGGUGCGGGGACCCCAGCCUCGAGGAGGCGCUCGUGCAGGGCGGAGGUGGCGCUUCAGCACUGUCGUGGGCCGGACAGCGCCUCCCGCCCCCGGCCCUCGAAACCUGGCUUCGGAGCCCAGCCGUAGGGACCGGACGGAAGACACCGAAGGAACGGCGAACCUCCCCGGACCGCUCCUGACAGUUCCCGGGUGGCCUUGGGCCUGCAAAGUCGGAAUUUGCACACCCUCCGCUAGUCCUUCCCUGAGCCCUUCUGCCCUCCUUGCCCAGCCGGGGCGGUGGGGACUAAGCAGCGCGGGGCUGCGGAGGGGCGGUCACACGCGUGACCAUUCGCACUGCACUCCAGCCGCCGGCUCCUCAGGCUUUACUGGAGAGAAGCCCCGAGGAGGGCUGGGGGCAAAAGAGGGGCCUUCUGCAUCUCCAGCAACCUGCGGGCUGAGCUCCCAGACCCGGCGUCGGGGCGCUCGUCUCCGGGCGGGCGCUAGGACCGGGGACAGUCAGGAGGGCGCAGAGCGGGCUGGGGCGGUGCAGGGGGCGGGGCUGCCGCGGCAGGGCGGGUCGGCGGGCGCUAGGGCAGCGCGGAGCUCCGGCGGUGGGCGGGGCAUGGCGGCGCGCGCAGCGGCAGGCGGCGGCUGGAUGGAGCCCGAGCCCGAGCCCGCGGCGGUGGAGGUUCCCGCGGGGCGCGUGCUCAGCGCCCAGGAGCUCUUCGCCUCCCGCUCGCGGUCGCAGAAGCUGCCCCAGCGCUCGCAUGGCCCCAAGGACUUUCUGCCCGACGGCUCGGCGGCUCAGGCCGAGCGGCUGCGCCGGUGCCGGGAAGAGCUCUGGCAGCUGCUGGCAGAGCAGCGCGUGGAGCGCCUGGGCAGCUUGGUGGCUGCCGAGUGGAGGCCGGAAGAGGGCUUCGUGGAGUUGAAGUCUCCCGCGGGCAAAUUCUGGCAGACCAUGGGCUUCUCAGAGCAGGGCCGGCAGCGGCUUCACCCGGAAGAGGCCUUGUAUCUUCUGGAGUGUGGCUCCAUCCACCUCUUCCACCAAGACCUGCCACUGUCUAUCCAGGAAGCUUACCAGCUGCUGCUGACCGACCACACUGUGACCUUCCUGCAGUACCAGGUCUUCAGCCACCUGAAGAGGUUGGGUUAUGUGGUUCGACGAUUCCAACCAAGUAAUCCAGCAUUGGUAAAAGGCAGAGACCUUCAGACUUGGAGUGGAAACGGCUCUGUCCUGUCCCCGUAUGAGAGGCAGCUUAACCUGGAUGCCAGUGUGCAGCACUUGGAGGAUGGAGACGGCAAGAGAAAGAGGAGCAGCUCUAGCCCUUGGUCCGUUAAUAAGAAGGCCAAGGCCCUGGACAACUCCUUGCAACCCAAGAGUCUGGCAGCCUCCAGCCCACCUCCCUGCAGCCAGCCCAGCCAAUGCCCAGAGGAGAAACCCCAGGAGUCAAGCCCCAUAAAGGGCCCAGGGGGCCCCUUUCAGCUUCUGGGGUCCCUGGGCCCCAGCCCUGGCCCGGCCAGGGAGGGGGUGGGGUGCAGCUGGGAGAGUGGCAGAGCCGAGAACGGAGUCACGGGGGCCAGUAAGCGGCGCUGGAACUUCGAGCAGAUCUCCUUCCCCAACAUGGCUUCAGACAGCCGCCACACCCUCCUGCGCGCCCCAGCCCCAGAGCUGCUCCCGGCCAACGUGGCUGGGCGGGAGACAGACGCUGAGUCCUGGUGCCAGAAGCUGAACCAGCGCAAGGAGAAGCUCUCGAGGCGAGAACGGGAGCACCACGCGGAGGCCGCGCGGUUCCGGGAAGACGUCAACUCCGAUCCUGAGGUGCAGCGCUGCUCCAGCUGGCGGGAGUACAAAGAGCUGCUGCAGCGGCGGCACCUGCAGAGGAGUCAGAGCCGGGCCCCUCACCUGUGGGGCCAGCCCGUCACCCCCCUGCUGAGUCCCAGCCAGGCCGUUUCCCCAGGUACCCCCUCAGCCUGCCACAUCCUUGAGGGCCACUGGCAGCUGAGGAAUCACAGGACUUUGGAAAGGGCAUGGAUGAACCGGGAUGGAUUGAGGCUUAAGAAAGACGUGGGAGGAGGGAGCGGACCCACAAGGACGGUCAGUUCUCCCGCGGCUGCAGCAGGGCCUGUGUGGGAAGGCUUAGAGAUGGUGAGUCAGGAGAGGUAAGGAGGGGUGGAAACUAUGACCAUAUCCUUAAAAAGAUAAGCAACAUGCAUGUGGAUGGCUUUGCCACCAACUAGCUGUGAUCCCAACCUGUUAGAUGGGAAAAGGAGGUGCCUUCUUGGCCAAGUGAAAGGAAGGCUUGCUGUCUGCUCUAAGCCCAGGGAACCAAUGGGGAAAGAAUAAGCUAAAUGUGUUAACGAUUCCAAAUUACUUAAAGCCUUCAUGGGAACACGGUAGAUUGUAGGUAACUAGAUAGGGUUGCCAGAUCAGUUCGAUUUGACUUUCAGUAUAAAUAUAAUUUUUCAGUGUAAGUAUGUUCCAAAAAUUGCAUGGGAUAUGCUUAUACUAAAAAAAAAAAUGUUGCUAGGCUGGACACGGUGGCUCAUGCCUGUAAUCCCAGCACUUUGGGAGGCCGAGGCGGGCAGAUCACCUGAGGUCAGGAGUUUGAGACCAACCUGGGCAACAUGGUGAAACCGUCUCUACUGAAAAUACAAAAGUUAGCCGGGUGUGGUGGUGCACACCUCUAAUCCCAGCUACUCAGGAGGCUGAGGCAGGAGAAUUGCUUGAACCCAGGAGGCAGAGGUCACAGUGAGCCAAGAUCACACCACUAUACUCCAGCCUGGGUAACAGACCAUGGUCCUUCAGCAUAUCUCUGUGCUGCAGACAACACACCUUGCUGAUGGAGGUGCCCGGCUGUUGGAGAAGUCUGGGGGCUUGGAAAUCAGCUUUGAUGUUUACCAGGCCGACGCUGUGGCCACAUUCCGAAAGAAUAACCCUG